This 3500-nucleotide long non-coding RNA is filed under the name Daucus carota (carrot). RNAcentral's name for it is "long non-coding RNA (DCAR_LNC006144)". The record is from RNAcentral. Lineage: Eukaryota; Viridiplantae; Streptophyta; Magnoliopsida; Apiales; Apiaceae.
GCACAUAUGUUCUCUCAUAUAGGUUCAACUAGGGCACCUAUCUUAAACUUCAUAUCGUUCUCGCUUGUUAUAUUCCUAGGGUUCCUUGAAUCCUAAGGAUAUAACUAUAGCUCUGAUACCAAAUCUGUGACGCCCCCAGAUCCACAUCCCGCAGAUCUGGCCCGCCACUAAACAUAUGGCUCAAAACAACACUUGCAUUACAUAUUAAUAUUACAUGAUCCAACUCUUUGCCCCACAAGUUCAGGGUCGCUCGUCUUAACAACAUUACUACUAAGUCUAAUUUUAUUACAUAAAGGGAAGUCUGAUUUCAGACCAUUAUAAUAACUAUAGCUCGUACUAACAAGCGGCGUAGUCUAGCAGUCUCAGCUUGGGUGAUGCGCCUUUUCCCUGCCUUUGCCAAAAACCCAUUUCCGGGCGGUUCUCUUGAGUUGUGCCAUACUCACUAUUUACUGCUCAAAAGGAAUAAAAUAGAUGCAAGAAUGAGCAAUCGAAUUGCUCAGCAAGUCCACAUAGAACAAAACAACAAUCAACAGAAUAUGCACGUAAGGCACAUAAAAUAAUUCAGUCAAAGCAAUAAAGCAGCUACCGUCAAAUGACAACACAAGUUCAAGGAAAGAAAACGCUGGUCUUCCACCCCUCGGUAACACUACAUGGCUCGAUCAGCACCAUUUCGUGAAUACCGUUCUCCUGUGUCAUCUUUGCAGUUUGAUCGUAACCGCACAAGACACACCUGCCACUCUCAUUUGCUAGCAUAAGGGUUAACAUUUGUAACCCUAAACUAUCUGCCUUACCAGAUAGUAAAAUUUAACUCUACCACGAAUUUAAUAAAUUCGUGUUGACCAGCUUGAACAGAUUCCUCCGAAUACAAGAAAAUUUUCCCAAACAACUAUUCAUCUCUAGCAAAGAAGUGCGAACAAUGCACCCUUUCAACAAAGAUUAUCCGAAGGUAGAAGUGAAGGAUAAUUAAAAGAAUUAAAUUCCAAAGAAUAAGAUGAUCUCCAAAAAGGGAGUAAGUUAAUUGUGGUGAGAUCAUCGCUGCAAUGUAUUCACUUCAAGUUUCGAAGAUUCCGAAUAUUAUCGUUAUUAGGAUCAGCUCAUUCCCGUAUAAUGGAAGUGCUCGAAUUAGAAGUAAUGUAUGAACAAUAUUUUUAGAGUCUUCGAAUGAAACGUAGAUAUCUUCUCGAUUCACAAUAGUACGAAAUGUAAUAUCUUCACAAUCAACAUUUUUCAUACAAUUAUCAAAUAGGCAUGAAAACUUUCACGUCAAGAAAGAGAUAGCGAACUUGCCUGGCGUUCUUAGCUUAAAAAGGAAAUCCUGAAUCAGAUUGAUUAAUCAGGCUUCGCCUUUUCCGGAUAAAAAUAUUCUACGCCACAAAAUAAUUGAUUUAGUAAUAUUUAUCACAAAAAUAAUGAUCUCAAAAGAUCCACUAUAAAUUAUUUAAUUUAUUCUCGUAUAUAUUAAAUCCCGAAUAGAAUAUGAUUAUCUAAUUCUCUUUCUCUAAAUAUUUUACUCCAUUUGGUGGUUUGUUAAAUUUAAGGAUGUGAGUUUUAUUCCCCACGAAUAGCCAACUCAAUAUUUCUACUUUAUAAUAUCUAACUAAUUUCCCAAGGUCUCAUUUUUCAUUUUUUUUUUAUAAAUUAAAUUCUAACGUAAUCAGUUAUCACUAAGUUCCAUGUUUUAUAAUUACCUCCUUUCCUUUUCACUAAUCCAAACAAUCUAGUUUAUAUAAUACAUUCUCCCAUAUCAAUUAUUCUCAUUUAUCGGUCAAUUAUCGGCCAAACAGAUAAUUACUCAAUACAUGAUCUCACUUUCUUCGUGUUUGUCCAACUAUCAAUUAACAAUGAAUAUUCAUCAUUUGUUCGAUAAACUAAAUCCGAGAUUAUUCUUUGAUUUCCAACUUUUAUUAUACUCUAAAUCUAACUAAAUUCUCUCCGAAAAUUAUUAAUUCACUUAAUAAGCUAACUAAAAUUAUCUCGUAACCCCCAAAUUACUCAUAAAUCUACUUAUUUAUGAUCAUUAUGACUUAUUAAUCAUGUUUCCAAUCUUCAUCCCAAAUUUUUAUUAAAUCUUAUUUUACUUCAUCCCAAACAAAUAUUUCACACCCCUUUAUUAUUAUUAAUCCUUCAAAUUAUGGUUUUACUAAAUUACCCUCGUCUCUCCCAAUCCACCCUUCCUUCUCUCUUCUCUCCUUUCUCCUCCUUCCCAACCAAUUUUCACCAUCGCCGGCCAGAGAAAACUCCGACGGCCUACCACCUCUGCCUCUCCUACUCUCUCUCUCUUGGCAGAACUCUGCCAUGGCCGGAGAGUUCGCCGCCUCCGGCUUUCUCCCUCGCACAACUGCGAUUUCCUUCCCAUCCGAACCCUCUCCCUCUCACUGCUCUUUCUUCUCCGAUUUACCACCGCGAGUCAUCAUCGACGGUGCUCCGGCCUCCCAACGCCGCAAUUACCAAAUCAACAAACCCCCAAUCUUACACUACACAUAUAUUCUGAUUUAGUUACACAAUCCGCCAAACAAAUCAAAAGUUCCCACUUCCCCUCCAAUUAAUUCAAACUCGAUUCACCAGCAAACUCAAGUUAAAGCUCCAACUCAUUUUUCUAAGAACCCUAAUUUAAAAUAUAACUUACAGCUUCUUUACAUAUUUGGGGGAAAAGAGAAGAAAGUUAAAUUAUACUACUACAUACGUGUACCUAACUAAAGACAAGGAAUUAAAGCUCCUGGUGGCGUCAAAUAUUAUAAUUAUUUAAUUAAAUUCUACACCAUUAAUAGCUACUAUUAAACAAGGAAAAAUGGUAAUACCUUUAAAUGAAAUUUUAUCAUCUCCUUUUUGAUUCCAAUACUCACGCUUCUGUGCUUUGUUUUGGUAAGCAAAAUAAUUGAUUCUCUUCCUUGGCUUUUAUACUGCUUUCCUUAAUUAUCAUUAGUGCCUAAUUACCUCUUUAUAUGCUAUUAAUUAAAUCUUUUACUUGGGCUCCAAGUAUAAUACUUGGGCCCCAAGUUUCGAAGUGUGCUGCGCAAGUAACGUCCAGGAAAUAGUUUAAUUGGCUCGUUUAUUUACGAAUAUUCGUAUCCGAUUUUAAUAAAUAUAAUUAUUGAAAAUAUAUAAAUAAUUAAGAAAUUCACCAAAAUAAUUAAAUAACCAAUUAGUAAUUACUAUACUAGUUUCUGACAAAUUCUCAAUUUAUAAAAUAACAAAGAUAAAUUAUCUUGGCUCAAAAUAUAAUAUUUAUUCAUGAGUCAGUAAAUAAAUAAUCAUGUCUACAAUAUAUUUUAAUUUUUCUCAAUAAGCGCAGCUCCUGAUUUAACGUACAUAUUUGAAUAAAAGACUAGCCUGCAAAGUAAUAUUUUCGUUUUCUAAAAUUCUCGUAGCUACCACACUUUAAUAAAUAUUUCUCACCUUGUGAAUAUUAUUAAAUCCAAGACUAAUAAAAUAGUCUUUUUGAUCAAUAAAUAAUUAAAUUAAAUAACCGCGCUUUUACGUACUUGUAAAUUUUACGGUUG